UUGACAGAAGCUCCACAGAGACGGAAACAUCUGCUGCAGCUGUUUGUCACUGCCUCUGCUCUGCCUCUCAGUCAUGUUGUCCUUGGCCGCCCACUCGCUCUGUGUCAGGGCCACCGGUUACCAACAAAGCCUGCGCUCCAUAGCAACUGUCAUCUCCGGGAACAAAACGUCCAAAAUAGUGAGGGAGAGACUGAAGAAGGAGGUGGAGAAGAUGGCGAAUCAGUUCUCCGGGUUCAGACCGGGCCUGGUGGUCCUGCAGGUGGGAGACAGAGAUGACUCUAACCUGUACAUCAGCACCAAACUGAAGGCUGCAGCUGAGGUUGGAAUUGAAGCCAAACAUAUCCGGCUGCCAAACACAACCACGCAGGACGAGGUGCUGCAAAGCAUCAUGUCCGUGAACGAGAACGCGUGCGUACACGGUCUGAUCGUGCAGCUGCCAUUGGACUCCGCAAACUGCAUUGACACUGAGCUCGUCACCAACGCCGUGUCCUCGCAAAAAGACGUAGAUGGGCUGAGCUGCAUUAAUGCAGGUAAAUUGUCUCGAGGAGAUCUGAACGACUGCUUCAUCCCCUGCACCCCCAACGGCUGCAUGGAGCUCAUCAGACAGACUGGCGUGUUUGUGGCGGGGAAGCACGCGGUGGUUAUUGGUCGCAGUAAAAUCGUUGGCGCUCCGAUGCACGACCUGCUGCUGUGGAACCACGCCACUGUGACCACCUGCCACUCAAAGACACCUGACCUACCUGAGCAGGUGGGCCGGGCUGAUAUCCUAGUGGUGGGGGCCGGCAGAGCAGAGAUGGUGAGAGGAGAGUGGGUGAAGGAGGGUGCCGUGGUCAUUGACUGUGGAAUUAACCAUGUCCCCGAUGACACAAGGCCCAGUGGUAAACGAGUGGUUGGAGACGUUCACUACUCCUCCGCCAGUCAGAGAGCAGGAUACAUCACACCUGUUCCAGGAGGGGUGGGGCCAAUGACGGUGGCCAUGCUCAUGGAGAAUACGGUGCAGAGUGCUCAGCGCUUCCUCCUGAAGAUGAGGAGGUGAAACAUCAACACUGACGGGUAAAACUCGGCUCAAACUUUCAAAUUCCAACCAGGGUUUCCUCUAAAUUCAUCAGAACUAAUUUAUUGUCAUGAUCAGUUUUUGUCACUGAAGGACACUCUGCAACCAAAGAAACUGCACAGGUAUAAAUGAUUAAAUGUGUUUUUGUUUGGGCUCUGAUAACUGUGACACUUUGUUUAUAUCCCUGUAGGCAGACAGCUGUGGACAGGUGAACAGCUCAUACACAGAGAUGACAUCGUCAGAAUGAAAGAAGAAACACUUCUUGUUUCAGAGGCUGAACUCGUCCGUAUUUUUUCUUUUGUCUUAAUUUUUUUCUGUAAUUUGUUUCCUGAUCUGAGAGAUUUCUGACGUCUGUCAAAGUUUGACUGUGACUCCAGCAGAACCUCAGAGUUCAGACGCACUGAGCUCGAUGAGGCUGUGGAUGCUGCGCUUUCCUGCAGUAUUAAACCAGGUGUGUUUUGUGCCAGAAAUGGAGUGUCCACUGAAGACUGAAGAUACUGAAUCUCUACGCCUUGCCAUUGAUCCCUCCCUCUCACCUAGACAAGAGGCAUUAACUUAACCACUCUCAUAUGCUCUGUACCUACAUCACCUUCCCUGACAGUCGUAGCUUGGCUCAUCUGAGGGUGAAAUUAUGCUGACAAGCUGACACAGUAACAUGGAAGAGGGAAAGAAGUUGGAAAGGACUACUACAAAUAAACCUAAUGCCUAACAAUGAAAAAUGUAAAAUAAGAACAAUAAUAAUAAUAAAGAUAAAAGAUGAAGUAACAAGUUUUUAGUUUUUUGGUUUAUUCCAAAUGAUCAUCCAGAUGUCUGUGACAUGUGAUGACAAACACCAUAAUCGAAGGCCUUAGUCAUCACAUGCUUAAACUCAUCAUAUAUUUUUGCAUAUGCUGAACAUGCAGUCAGACAUGCUGUAACUGUGGGGUAGAAAACAGCAUGAACACCAUACGGCAGGGGUCUCAAACUCCAGUCCU
Non-coding RNA from Neolamprologus brichardi, 2028 nucleotides. NCBI's taxonomy places the organism in Eukaryota, Metazoa, Chordata, Actinopteri, Cichliformes, Cichlidae. The record is from RefSeq and is a predicted model, not a curated record.